RNAcentral lists this long non-coding RNA (2460 nucleotides) under Canis lupus familiaris (dog). RNAcentral's name for it is "lncRNA (ENSCAFG00845022760.1)". Lineage: Eukaryota; Metazoa; Chordata; Mammalia; Carnivora; Canidae. The record is from RNAcentral.
AUGGAACCUCUCAAGGGGAGUGCAGGUGCUCGGCGGGCCGCAGGGAAGGGACCCACACCCCGUCCUCCGGGCGGGCACUGGCGUUUUCCAGUCUCCCAAGACCAUUUUACGGACGAGGAAACGCGUCGUCAGCUCCCUUCAGCAGCUGAUGCAGCCAGACCGACGGAGCCUGCUUUACGACCGGUGGCCCUGUUGACUGCACCCGGAGGCUGCAAUGUCCCCAGCUUCCCGCAGGCCCGGAAGAGCCGCUCAGCCCAGAGUUCCUUGAUUGACCGUCCAGAGUGAGCCCGGAAGGGCGCCCGAGCAAGGAGAAAACAACUCACACCACGUUCCCCCACCCCCGGCCGGGCCAGAGCCCUGCCCUUGCCCCAUGUAAUGUGCAUCUGCUGUAUACCCAGGCCCAGGUUAGGCCCUUUCCUAGGCGGACUUGGGGAAACCUGAAGGUUGGGGGUGGGAGGGUGGUGAGUUCACUAAAUUAAGUUCAGAAGCUGAUUUGCUUUGCUUUUGUUUUUCUUUUGGCCAACCUCCAGCACCAUCAUUCAGCCAUUCCAUCACCCUCUGUGGAGCACCUACUGUGUUGUGUGCAGGGCCUCUGUGGUAGGCCAGGGUUUUCCACCAUCCCUCAUCACCUCCUCAGUUGAUGCUCCCCUAUGGGCCAGGAAAUACCCACCACAAUGAAGAAGUCCGCUUUAGGCUGAUGUCACAAUUUCUCCUUUAGGUCGACCCCCUUUUCUGUUUUUACUUAAGUAAAUAUAUUUCAAAAGGGAAACUUAAUGUCACCACCAAGAAUGGAAAACCAGUUUAUCUUGCCAUAAAUAGAAAGAAAUUGAAAAAACGAUGAAAUGAGAGCAAAACCCAGGAAUUCCUUCCUCGGGGACACUCUGGGCCAGGCCCAGAGCGGGAAUGUCUAAAUAUCCAGAAAGCGUUAAAAGCAGGGAAGCCCCAAGCCAAGCCAAAGAAGGGUGCAGGAGAGGCCACGGGAAUCCACUUUGUGGUUUUGUUUCUGAGGGCCCCAGCACACAGUAGGUGCUCAAUAAUGUGCCAAGCCUUGGCAGUGAGCACCUACUAUGCGUGGGGUUUACCUGCAUCCACCAGCAUCCUUUCAGGGCCUUCGAGUUUAUAGACCCAUUUCCAGGGUCACAAAUGAAGGUGGUGGUGGUGGCAGGUAGCAGGGACCCCACAGGGCCUCUCUGGGGAGACUUCAGUUUGGUUCAGAUAAAUGGAAGCUCCCCGCUUCCGCCUCAAGACCUUGGGGCUGUCCCCACCCUCAGUCCUGUGGCUCCUGACAGGCUUCUGCAAUGAACUAUGGGCCCCUGACGUCCUGCUCAGGCUGCCCAGGGAUUGGGGGGGGGGAGGGGGGCGGAAUGUGUACAUCAAUGAAUAUGAAUUAAAUAAGUAAAUGAAUUAAUGAGUGGAUGGUGUAAUGGAUGAUUUGACGAUGUAAUAAAUGGAUGAGUGAAUUAAUGGAGAGGAUGCAUCCAUGUGAUCAAAAUGGGAAACCCACUCCCCACAUUUUUCCUUAAUAUCCCCACACCAGCACUGCAAGGAGGGACAUCUGUUCACAUUUUUCAGAGGGACAAACUGAGGUUCUGAGCAAAGCGUGGCUCCCUGCCCCCCAUUUUCAGAGGGCAGAUUGGAAUACAGGCAGCCUGCUCUCUGUGAGCUGCAGGACAGGGGGGCGAGUAAGAGAGCGGGGGCCCAGUGGGGGAGUAGAUGGAAUGGGGGCCAGGCAGGCAGCAGACAGCAGGGAAGCGGUGGUGGCUGGGCCUCCAGGGCGGGAGGAGUAGCCAGAGUCCCAGUUGAUUAGGAAAGGUUCCAAGGAAAGAGUAGGUUUGGGGGGCCUCCCAGCACUCACGGAGACACACACCAGCCCUGCGUCUCGCGGGCGUGGGGAGGCAGAGACACCCCUCCCAACACUCAGAACCUGAGGCCACCACCGUGUACUCCCUCGCUCGCCGCUUCCCCCCUUCCCCGCCACCGCCUCUCCUCGGGAGGAAGUGGUGAGGGUGCGGGGGAGGGCCCCCCAUUCUCACUUCCCCUGGGGCAGGGCGGGGCCUACAGGGUCCCCUCCCCCGCCGCGAUAGGGGGGCGACGGGAGUGGGGGCUGGGAGCCCCAAGAGCCAGGGCUCGGCCCGGGGCGCUGCGGCCCCUCGUUGGGUGACCUCUCUAAGUUCUCUGGGUUUCGAUGGUUCUCAUCUGAAAAAUGGGGGGAAGAAACUGGACCUUGAAACAAUGGAUUGCUGGGGGAGAGGACCCCGCCCCACCCCCGAGGAGACAAGCCGGACAAGGACACUCCCAGGCCCGGAGGGGUCACGGCCGGGCCGGAGGGAGAGAGGUCGCUGUAAACACGACUUGGACCGGGGCGGGAGGCGCAUUCCAGGCGGAGCGAACGGCGCCGGCGAAGGCCUGGAGGCUGCUCGGGACCUCCCGCCUCGCGGGGCGGCCGGGCCUGCCCGGGAC